Molecule: long non-coding RNA, 1389 nt
Organism: Neopsephotus bourkii (Bourke's parrot)
Lineage: Eukaryota; Metazoa; Chordata; Aves; Psittaciformes; Psittacidae
Exons: 3
Source: RefSeq, a predicted model, not a curated record
UUUGGAAAGAGCAGAGGAAGAGGUGAGUUAACACAAAGUUUUAUCUAUAAACUGAACAAGAAGCCAUUCUAAUUUCAUGUACUGAUUGCUGCUUAAAAGCAAACUGAAUUCUUCAGGAGUCAUCAGGAUAAGAGGUAGAGGAACUCGCAUCAGGAGCUAAUACACAGCUUUCACCCUUAGCUUUGCUAUGACAGUAACAAGUACUAUUAAUAGGAUGGCACAACUCCUCAUCACUCUGCACAGGUGAUAGGUGCAGCAGCUUUUGUUUGGCUGGCCAAAGACCUUGUGUGCCAAUAACCUUUGUUAGAGGGGAAUAGUACUACCAGCAGUAUCUAAAAUGAGAGCAAAGUACAGAGUGUCCUUCCCUAUAGCAGGAAUAGAAGUGGAAUCGCUGGCAAGAGCACUGUAUUGUGCCCACUUAAAUAUGGUACCAAGAGCAAUGGACACAUGCUGAGCUGGAAAAUUUUUCUCUUUCUAGAUCACAGCACCAAGUAAGCUCGCUGACAACUCCACCAUCACAUGAGUGAAUCUGCUCCAAACCCAGGACUCAUCCCUGCUAGGAACUUACAUGUCUGGAAAUGCAGUUUAUUACCAGUGACUCCUUUUAGCAAUGGAGUCAGACAGAGGAGAUGCUGCAUAGAAGUUUCUGGGUUACCUUGGGUUUGAUUUUGUGAUGCAAGGACAAGCUCUCACUGGACUUCUGCUCUGUGUAUGGGACGUGUGUGUAGCUACUACUGGGUAGGUAAAGGUUUAAGGAGGCUUCUGGGACUUUUCUUUAGAAGAGAAAGAGAGAGCUCUUGGAAAACCCAUGAGAGGUUAAUAUCCCCGAGGUCACUGGGGCUGUAUCAAGUGUGGCUGAGAUUGACCAGUUGGUUCAGGCGUUGUUGGAGGACGAGGGGAGGAGGACACAGCACAGCGAUUGCAUAAGCCUUAUUUUUAGCCUGGCUUCCUAUGGGAAGAAAAGCUGGCUUGCAAUGGCAGGCUUUCUUACAGCAGACAGGACAUUCCUGGUAGGGACACAUUAAGUCAGAUUUGACCUCAUAUAUUCUUUUUCCUUCAAUGUUUAAAGUGAUAUAUGUGACACAAACCUGUUCCUACUGAUGGUAAGGGAAAAACUCUUUUCUAUUCCAGGGAAAAGAAGAUGGCAACUAUCAACACUGGGCUUUACCUGUCUGCCUCCAGCCAGCAGGAAGGUUCCCACAUUAGAGACCUGCUCACUUUAGCUUGUUGUUAUGGGCUUCCCUACUGGACUUCCAGCUAAUAUUGGCACAAAUACAAGUUGAUGAGAAGGCAAGACCCAGCUCCCUCUGACAUCUCAUUGACCUUGGAAGAUAUUUGGAUUGCAGCCCAAAGGCAAAAUGAUAUAAUACAUCUUCAGGAAAGAAUCUA